UUAGAGCUAGAAACUUGAACAAGAAAGUGCAUAGUGUCUUUGCCUCUUAUUUUAAAAAAAAAAAAGAGAGUUGCAGAAGGUUGAGAAUUGAAACCUUAAGAUAUGUUAAAGUGUAGUAUGACACUGACUACAGAACACAUAUAGGUGUGGAAACCGUUCUUUAAUCUGAAAGCUCCAAUCUUUGUGAGACGAACAGCAGCCAUUGGCACUUCCAUGAGAUGAGGGAGAAGAAAGACUCCAAAUCUUUAUCUUCGACCUCUCUUUGUGCCACACUUCGAGACGCAUACCACAAUUGCUUCAACAGGUGGUACGCGGAGAAAUUCAUGAAGGGUCACUGGGACAAACAAGAUUGCGUUUCUGAGUGGCAAAAAUACCGGGAGUGCCUUUCUCAACAUUUGGAAGAUAAGCAUCUGAUUCGUUUCUUACAAGCUGAAGGCAUUGUUCAAGACAGUGGCGUUACUUCUCAGUAACUUGUGGAGAGUAAGGUAAACCUUCUUAUAGCAAGAAGCCUUCUGGCAAAGGUUUUGGUGCAGGUAAAUGACUGCUAACGGAGAAAGCUUAUUCCUGUGAUGAUCAUUGUUGAUGUUGUAUUAUGUCCGCUACCUGUGCGCUGUAUCAUUGUUUGAAUAGAGCAAGCUUUGUAUUUCCGUAAGAAAUCUUUGUGGUAUGUUAUUUCUUUUUUUGUUUUUGGACUUUGGAUCUUGUUGCAAAAAGGAAAAAUUCAAAUUUAGUUUUGCUUAUUGAUGUAAUAUAAUUAGAUUGUUACUACUA
Molecule: RNA transcript, 771 nt
Organism: Vigna radiata var. radiata (mung bean)
Lineage: Eukaryota; Viridiplantae; Streptophyta; Magnoliopsida; Fabales; Fabaceae
Exons: 5
Source: RefSeq, a predicted model, not a curated record